RNA transcript from Chenopodium quinoa (quinoa), 5622 nucleotides. It is a transcript of the gene named epidermal growth factor receptor substrate 15-like 1, with no coding region annotated. The record is from RefSeq and is a predicted model, not a curated record. The transcript is spliced from 14 exons. NCBI's taxonomy places the organism in Eukaryota, Viridiplantae, Streptophyta, Magnoliopsida, Caryophyllales, Amaranthaceae.
UUUCGCGGACGGAGCCUGGGUUUAAGGGUUGGGUUUUCACGGGGGUAAGAGUGAGGGAGAGGAUUGGUGGUUCAUGGGAGGGGAGGGUAAGCCGGAGCCGCGUGAAUGGGGUUGGCCGGUUGGGGGUUGGCUUGGUUUCGUGAGGAUUCGAGGGUGGUUCAUGUGGAGGUUCGUGAGGGAGGGAGGGGUUCGAGGGUGGUUCAGGGAAGGGGGUUCGAUUGUGGUUCAAGGGAGGGGUGGCAGGGGAGGGCGGCGCGCCGGGAUUGGUGGCAGGGGAGGCCAGCGCGCCAGAAUGGUGGCAGGGGAGGUGGUUUGGGUGGUGGGUGGUUUCUAAAUUAAUUAAUUGUUUUUUUAUUUUUUUUAAUUUUAUUUUUUUGACUAAUUGGGUGCCGACACGUGGCUAGUAACUUGCUAUAACAAGUUAACUAACCGGUUGGGACCAAUAAAAAAGAUCGGGGGGUAAAGGUGGGAUUAUUAAAAAAUAAUCCAAAGGUGGGGUUAUUUUCAGCGGACGGGCAAAAGAUCGGAUUAUUGCGGGCAAUUUUUCCUUUAAUCUAUACCAACUACACUAAUCCCCACAUCUUGAAGUUAGCAUUAGUUGUGUACUUUACUACUUCGGAUAAAUGAAGGAAGGUGCACAAAACAAUUAGACCACGUUUCAAAAGUUCCCAAAUUUGUUAAGUUAAUCUCAUAUCAGUAUAUCACCCCCUUAUAAUAAAAUAAUAAAAAUAGAAAUGAAAAAAUAAAAUAAAAAUAAAAAUAAAAAUAAAAAAAUAAAAAAAAUUGAAUGAAAAGAAAAGAAAAACACCAAAAAGAAAAGCACUUACAGUCUGCUAAAAUCAAAAUCCUUCCCUGUCUUAAAUCGGUGACAGGCAGUCGUCGCCGACGCCUAUUUUUGGCUCGCCAGAAUAAUCAAACACUUCCUUUUUCUCUCUCCUCUCCCCCCAAAAAAAAAAAAAAAUCCCCAAUUUCAAAACCCUAAUUUCACCUGCAAAUCUCUUCACUCCUUUGCCAUAAUCUCUCUCCACUUUGAUUGCAAUCUAAUCGCAACUGAAAUUGCCUACCAACUCCUUUAAUACAUUCGUCUUUUCGAUCCAGAUUUCGCAGUAUUAUACUUAAUUUUAGUGACUGUUGAAUUUAUGAUUGGUUAUCGGUGGUUGUGAUUCUCUCGAAUCGAUGAUUUGAUCGGCGAAUUUUCGAGGAAUUGGGGUUUUGGUUUUGUGCAGGGUGGUCGAAAUGGCGGCACAAAACCCAGGGGAUCUGUUUGAUACGUAUUUUAGGAGAGCUGAUUUGGAUCAAGAUGGUAGAAUUAGUGGCGCUGAAGCCGUCGCUUUCUUCCAGGGUUCGAAUUUGCCGAAGCAAGUUCUCGCGCAGAUAUGGACGUUUGCUGACCAUAACCGAACAGGGUUCCUUGGUAGAGCCGAAUUCUAUAAUGCUCUUAAACUUGUGACCGUUGCACAAAGCAAGCGUGAAUUAACUCCCGAGCUUGUCAAGGCAGCUUUAUAUGGUCCAGCUUCAGCUAAAAUACCAGCACCACAGAUAAGUUUGCCUACUACACCUGGUCCUCAGUCAAGUACUGCUGGAUCAACCCCUUCCGCACCUCAGACAAGCAAUGUUGCUCCUAUCUCUUACCAUAACCCUGGACCUAGAGGAGUACCAGUAUCACCUAAUGUUAACAUGAAUCAGCAAUAUAACCAACCAGCAGUAAGUGGGACUGUGAGACCUCAAAAUACAGUUUCUGGUGUGGCUACACAACCUGUGCACGGGGUUGGAUUUCAAGGAUUUCCUGGAGGAGCUCCUCAACCUGGAUCAAAUCUGCCUAAUUCUAGACCUUCAAAUGACGUAGGGGUUGUUAACACGGGAAGGUCACCAACAACAGUAUACUCAGAGAGAAGUAGCAGUCUUUUGACGAACCAGUCUGGGGUGACAUCAACAGAAGGACCAGCAGCUUCUUUACCACCUAAGCCAUCUGUAACAGCAGGAAACUCUGCCACGCAGCCUAAACCAUCACAAAAUGGGUUCAGUCAAGGCUCUUUCUUCGGAGGUGAAGCAUUGUCUGCCGCUCCGUCUCUGCCCAAAAGAGAGGGUUCUGUUCUUACGUCAUCUGCUGGAAGUGUACAAGUCCCUACACCCUCGGUUCCAGUCUCAGCUGGCAACCAGUCUUUCUCAAAGCAGGGUUCUGUUACUUCUGUACCGAAUUCACUUGCUGCACACUCUUUCGGUGGACAACAUCAAAAGCUGCAAUCACACGUGAAACAGAAUCAACAUAUUCCAGUCCAAAAUAUUGCUCCACGUGGCCCUCCUGCAUCCCCACCUAAUAAUUCUGCAGGACAUCAGCCCCAGCUGCACUGGCCAAGACCAACUCAGACUGAUCUACAGAAAUACACCAAAGUAUUUAUGGAGGUUGAUACUGAUAAAGAUGGGAAAAUUACUGGUGAACAAGCGCGCAAUCUAUUUUUAAGUUGGAAGUUACCACGAGAGGUCUUAAAGCAGGUGUGGGACUUGUCUGAUCAGGAUAAUGAUAGCAAUCUUUCUCUCAGGGAAUUCUGCAUUGCACUUUAUCUGAUGGAAAGAUACAGGGAAGGACGUCCUCUUCCAGCAGUUCUUCCAAGUAGUGUUGUGCUUGAUUUCCCCGCAACUACUCAACCACCUGCUGGAUAUGGUAAUGCAGGAUGGGGAUAUUCUGCUGGUUUCCAGCAACCACAGGCACCUGGAACUGCUCCAAGACCAAAUGCACGUCCGACAGGGAAGCCACCAUUGCCUGUUACGGCUCAUAUGUCAUCUGAUGAUAGAAUGCCACCUAAGCCACCAAAAGCCAAAGUGCCAACGUUAGAAAAGCACCUAGUAGAACAGCUAAGUGAAGUGGAGCAGAAAUCACUCAAUUUGAAAUUCUUGGAGGCAUCAGAGGCUAAUAAAAAGGUUGAAGAACUGGAGAAGGAAAUAAAAGAAGCAAGAGAGAAAACGGAGUUCUACCGAGUUAAAAUGCAGGAGCUUGUUCUGUACAAGAGUAGAUGUGACAGUCGCUUUAAUGAAGUUUCAGAGAGGGCUGCUGCAGAUAAGCGUGAGGUUGAGUCUCUGGCUAAGAAGUAUGAAGAGAAGUACAGACAAAAUGGUGAUGUGGCAUCUAGAUUGACAAUUGAAGAAGCAACAUUCCGUGACAUACAGGAGAAGAAAAUGGAGAUGUAUCAGGCAAUUGUGAAGAUGGAGCAGGAUGGCACUGAUGAGAACUUUCAGGUUCGUGCUGAUCACAUCCAGUCUAGUUUGGAGGAAUUAAUAAGAUCUCUCUGUGAACGUUGCAAGAAAUAUGGAUUGCGUGCUAAACCUACCACGCUAGUUGAGCUUCCCUUUGGGUGGCAACCUGGCAUUCAGGAGAGUGCUGCUGAUUGGGAUGAAGACUGGGAUAAAUUUGAAGAUGAAGGUUACACUUUUGUGAAGGAUCUGACUCUUGACGUGAAUAACAUCAUUGCACCUCCGAAAACAAAAAUUAAAGCUGCAAAGAAAGAAAAGAAUAUGAUUUUUGAAGGUGAUGCAGCUGCUCAUACCUCAGACUCUGAAACCAAACCUGUCAAGUCCGCUGCAGAGGAUGAACAGGUGGCAGAAAAUGGUGUCGUAGGUACCCCUAAAGCAGUUGAAACGGUAAAGAAUACAGUUUCUAGUCCUUCUGCUAGAAGUUCGCAUGGAAGUCCACGUGAUGGAUCUAAGGACAAUCAUUUCCAAAAGCUUGAAAGUUCUGUUGCUUCACCUCGUGCCAAGGGAUCUCAGAGUGACGUUGGGAUUGCUGAUGCUUCAAUAUCCGGGGAGAAGAGUUUCGAUGAGCCGUCUCAGGGCACCUUUGAUACUAAUGAUGAUGCCGACUCAAUCUGGGGUUUCUCAAAGGAGAUGAAACUCGACAAGCAUAAUGAUGAUUUGUUUGGACACGGGCAAUGGACUCUGCCUCCUAUCAGGACUAGUUCCUCACAGGCUGAUGACUUUUUGCCCAAAAAAGGCAUAUUUGCAGACUCUGUACCAGGCACACCAGCAGAUGUCUUUGUGCCGAAAAAGAGCAUUUUUGCAGAUUCUGUUCCUGGUACACCAGCAGAUGGCUUUUUGCCUAAACAGAGCAUUUUUGCCGAUUCUGUUCCAAGCACACCACUCUAUGAAUCAAGCUAUUCUCCACAGAAAUUUGGCGAAGGACUAGAGCGCGGUUUAAACUUUUCAAGAUUUGAUUCCUUCAGGUCAUCAGAUAGUGGCUUUCAGCCUCAAGAAAAGCUAUCUCGAUUUGAUUCCAUGCGCAGUACUGGAGAUUUUGAGUCACAUGAUGAUAGGUCAUUUCAGCAAAGGGAUUCUUUUUCACGGUUUGAUUCUAUGCGAAGUACUAAUGAUUUUGAUUAUGGGGAUCGAUUUUCAUCAUUUGAUGAUUCAGACGCUUUUGGCUCUGGGCCUUUUAAGUCUUCAUUUGGAAGUGAGACUCCUAGGGGGGACUCUGAUGCUUUCGGAUCUAGUGCAUUUAGGUCUUCUCUGGGAAAUGAAACUCCAAGGUCAGAGAUAGAUGCAUUUGGUUCUGUGGGGCCUUUCAGGUCAUCUAUGGCCAGUGAAACUCCUAGGGCUGAUUCAGAUCCUUUUGGGGCACCUUUUCGGUCAUCACUGGGUGUUGAAACACCGAGAGCAGAUGCUGAUCCAUUUGGUUCUGUUGGGCCUUUCAAGUCGUCUUGGGGCAGUGAAACUCCAAGAGCAGAUACUGACCCUUUUGGUGGUCCUUUCAAGUCAUCACUGGGCAGUGAAACACCCAGGGGAGAAUCGGACUAUUUUGGAUACUCUGGUUCUUUUAAAUCUCCUUUUGGCAGUGAGACGCCUAGGGGUGAGUUUGAUUCUUACGGGUUUGGUGGGCCAUUUGGUUCAUCAUUUGGCAAUGAAACACCUAGGGGUGACAUGGAUGCAUUCGGUUCUUCUGGGCCAUUUAAGUCGACUGUGGGUAGUGAAACCCCAAAAGAUCGAACAGAUAGUUGGAGUGCGUUUUAGAGUAUAGUGAGUUUAUAUUCUAUAUCCUUUGUCCAGUGCUUUGAUGCUAGAGCAAUUUUGCCUACAAAUGUUAGAGCCCGGGAAUGCUUCAUCCUGGUGUUUUUACAGGCUCCCUAGCGUGCUGCAGGUUUGCCACCUGCUACCAACCAGCCGAAAAUCCCUGCUACGAUCUUUAAAGCGGCUUACUCCUGGCUUAUCAGCUUCAUUAUUUUUAACCUUGUUGUUUGCUUAAUACUCACCGGCUGUAAUAAAAGGCAGAUCGACUGUGAUUCUAGAGACAUGUUUUCAAAGGUCACUGGCCGCAACGAAUAAAAAUACACAGUACUCUGUAUGACUAACACGAGCAUGAAGCAAAUUUCUUUUACGGAGUAAAUUUUAUUUUAUUUUUUUUCCUUUUCAAAUCCUUCAAUUUCUGAUUUAUUCUAUCAUUUAAAUAUCAUGAUGCUCUAUUGUAACUAUCCUUAUGAUAAAAGGAACAUUAACUGUUACAAUUUCUCCACAUACCAUAGAGCCAGCACAAUUGGAGCUCGAACUCAUGACUUUAAAGUUACAAGUUGAGUUUCCCAUCAACUUCACCAAGCUUAGCUUGAUUUAAAUAAAUUUGUACCUAUUGACUUCUCCGCA